Molecule: ribosomal RNA, 954 nt
Filed under: uncultured Bacteroidota bacterium
Lineage: Bacteria; Pseudomonadati; Bacteroidota
Description: bacterial SSU rRNA
Rfam family: Bacterial small subunit ribosomal RNA
Source: RNAcentral
AGAGUUUGAUCCUGGCUCAGGAUGAACGCUAAGGCCUAACACAUGCAGUCGAGGGGCAGCACAGUUAGCAAUAACGGGUGGCGACCGGCGCACGGGUGCGUAACGCGUAUGCAAUCUACCUAUAACAGAGGGAUAGCCCCGAGAAAUCGGGAUUAAUACCACAUAACAUUAGGAUGUGGCAUCACAUUUUAAUCAAAGCUGAGGCGGUUAUAGAUGAGCAUGCGUGACAUUAGCUAGUUGGAGAGGUAACGGCUCACCAAGGCGACGAUGUCUAGGGGUUCUGAGAGGAUGAUCCCCCACACUGGUACUGAGACACGGACCAGACUCCUACGGGAGGCAGCAGUAAGGAAUAUUGGUCAAUGGGCGAGAGCCUGAACCAGCCAUGCCGCGUGCAGGAAGACGGCCUUAUGGGUUGUAAACUGCUUUUGUCGGGGAAUAAACCUAUCUACGCGUAGAUAGCUGAAGGUACCCGAAGAAUAAGCAUCGGCUAACUCCGUGCCAGCAGCCGCGGUAAUACGGAGGAUGCAAGCGUUAUCCGGAUUCAUUGGGUUUAAAGGGUGCGCAGGCGGAUUGGUAAGUCAGUGGUGAAAUUCUAGUGCUUAACAUUAGAGCUGCCAUUGAUACUGUCAGUCUAGAGUAUAGUUGGAGUGGGCGGAAUGUGUCAUGUAGCGGUGAAAUGCUUAGAUAUGACACAGAACACCGAUCGCGAAGGCAGCUCACUAAGCUAAAACUGACGCUCAUGCACGAAAGCGUGGGGAUCAAACAGGAUUAGAUACCCUGGUAGUCCACGCUGUAAACGAUGAUUACUCGAUGUUGGCGAUACACAGUCAGCGUCUGAACGAAAGUAUUAAGUAAUCCACCUGGGGAGUACGUUCGCAAGGAUGAAACUCAAAGGAAUUGACGGGGGCCCGCACAAGCGGAGGAGCAUGGGUUUAAUUCGAUGAUACGCGAGGA